RNAcentral lists this ribosomal RNA (253 nucleotides) under uncultured bacterium. RNAcentral's name for it is "partial 16S ribosomal RNA". It matches the Rfam family "Bacterial small subunit ribosomal RNA", at positions 524 to 776 of the family's 1533-position model. The record is from RNAcentral.
UACAGAGGUCUCAAGCGUUGUUCGGAUUCAUUGGGCGUAAAGGGCGCGUAGGCGGCCAUGCGUGUCUUCCGUGAAAUCCCUCGGCUUAACUGAGGACGUGCGGAAGAAACUGCAAGGCUCGAGUCCGGGAGAGGGGGGUGGAAUUCCCAGUGUAGCGGUGAAAUGCGUAGAUAUUGGGAGGAACACCGGUGGCGAAGGCGGCCCCCUGGACCGGUACUGACGCUGAGGCGCGAAAGCGUGGGUAGCGAACAGG